AUUGAACGCUGGCGGCAUGCCUUACACAUGCAAGUCGAACGGUAACAGGUCUUCGGAUGCUGACGAGUGGCGAACGGGUGAGUAAUACAUCGGAACGUGCCCGAUCGUGGGGGAUAACUACUCGAAAGAGUAGCUAAUACCGCAUACGAUCUACGGAUGAAAGCGGGGGAUCUUCGGACCUCGUGCGGACGGAGCGGCCGAUGGCAGAUUAGGUAGUUGGUGGGAUAAAAGCUUACCAAGCCGACGAUCUGUAGCUGGUCGGAGAGGACGACCAGCCACACUGGGACUGAGACACGGCCCAGACUCCUACGGGAGGCAGCAGUGGGGAAUUUUGGACAAUGGGCGAAAGCCUGAUCCAGCAAUGCCGCGUGCAGGAUGAAGGCCUUCGGGUUGUAAACUGCUUUUGUACGGAACGAAAAGACUCCUUCUAAUACAGGGGGUCCAUGACGGUACCGUAAGAAUAAGCACCGGCUAACUACGUGCCAGCCGCCGCCGUAA
This 498-nucleotide ribosomal RNA is filed under the name uncultured bacterium. RNAcentral's name for it is "partial 16S ribosomal RNA". It matches the Rfam family "Bacterial small subunit ribosomal RNA", at positions 30 to 523 of the family's 1533-position model. The record is from RNAcentral.